Molecule: ribosomal RNA, 327 nt
Filed under: uncultured eukaryote
Lineage: Eukaryota
Description: partial 18S ribosomal RNA
Rfam family: Eukaryotic small subunit ribosomal RNA
Source: RNAcentral
CCCUUAGAUGUCCUGGGCCGCACGCGCGUUACACUGAUGCAUUCAACGAGCUUAUAACCUUGGCCGAGAGGCCUGGGCAAUCUUGUUAACGUGCAUCGUGAUAGGGAUAGAUUAUUGAAAUUAUUAAUCUUGAACGAGGAAUUCCUAGUAAACGCAGAUCAUCAAUCUGCAUUGAUUACGUCCCUGCCCUUUGUACACACCGCCCGUCGCUCCUACCGAUUGAAUGUGCCAGUGAAAAGUUCGGAUUGGAGAUAGGAGACGGCAACGUAUCCUAUUUCCGAGAAAAUCUUUAAACUUUCCCAUUUAGAGGAAGGAGAAGUCGUAACA